AGAGUUUGAUCCUGGCUCAGAUUGAACGCUGGCGGCAUGCCUUACACAUGCAAGUCGAACGGCAGCGGGGGAGCAGUCCUGGCGGCGAGUGGCGAACGGGUGAGUAAUAUAUCGGAACGUGCCCUGGAGUGGGGGAUAACUAGUCGAAAGACUAGCUAAUACCGCAUACGAUCUACGGAUGAAAGUGGGGGAUCGCAAGACCUCAUGCUCGUGGAGCGGCCGAUAUCUGAUUAGCUAGUUGGUGGGGUAAAAGCCUACCAAGGCGACGAUCAGUAGCUGGUCUGAGAGGACGACCAGCCACACUGGGACUGAGACACGGCCCAGACUCCUACGGGAGGCAGCAGUGGGGAAUUUUGGACAAUGGGGGCAACCCUGAUCCAGCAAUGCCGCGUGUGUGAAGAAGGCCUUCGGGUUGUAAAGCACUUUUGUCAGGAACGAAACGGUCGGGGCUAAUAUCCUUGGCUAAUGACGGUACCUGAAGAAUAAGCACCGGCUAACUACGUGCCAGCAGCCGCGGUA
Molecule: ribosomal RNA, 519 nt
Filed under: uncultured Pseudomonadota bacterium
Lineage: Bacteria; Pseudomonadati; Pseudomonadota
Description: bacterial SSU rRNA
Rfam family: Bacterial small subunit ribosomal RNA
Source: RNAcentral